RNAcentral lists this ribosomal RNA (2914 nucleotides) under Escherichia coli. RNAcentral's name for it is "partial 23S ribosomal RNA". It matches the Rfam family "Bacterial large subunit ribosomal RNA". The record is from RNAcentral. Lineage: Bacteria; Pseudomonadati; Pseudomonadota; Gammaproteobacteria; Enterobacterales; Enterobacteriaceae.
GUUAAGCGACUAAGCGUACACGGUGGAUGCCCUGGCAGUCAGAGGCGAUGAAGGACGUGCUAAUCUGCGAUAAGCGUCGGUAAGGUGAUAUGAACCGUUAUAACCGGCGAUUUCCGAAUGGGGAAACCCAGUGUGAUUCGUCACACUAUCAUUAACUGAAUCCAUAGGUUAAUGAGGCGAACCGGGGGAACUGAAACAUCUAAGUACCCCGAGGAAAAGAAAUCAACCGAGAUUCCCCCAGUAGCGGCGAGCGAACGGGGAGCAGCCCAGAGCCUGAAUCAGUGUGUGUGUUAGUGGAAGCGUCUGGAAAGGCGCGCGAUACAGGGUGACAGCCCCGUACACAAAAAUGCACAUGCUGUGAGCUCGAUGAGUAGGGCGGGACACGUGGUAUCCUGUCUGAAUAUGGGGGGACCAUCCUCCAAGGCUAAAUACUCCUGACUGACCGAUAGUGAACCAGUACCGUGAGGGAAAGGCGAAAAGAACCCCGGCGAGGGGAGUGAAAAAGAACCUGAAACCGUGUACGUACAAGCAGUGGGAGCACGCUUAGGCGUGUGACUGCGUACCUUUUGUAUAAUGGGUCAGCGACUUAUAUUCUGUAGCAAGGUUAACCGAAUAGGGGAGCCGAAGGGAAACCGAGUCUUAACUGGGCGUUAAGUUGCAGGGUAUAGACCCGAAACCCGGUGAUCUAGCCAUGGGCAGGUUGAAGGUUGGGUAACACUAACUGGAGGACCGAACCGACUAAUGUUGAAAAAUUAGCGGAUGACUUGUGGCUGGGGGUGAAAGGCCAAUCAAACCGGGAGAUAGCUGGUUCUCCCCGAAAGCUAUUUAGGUAGCGCCUCGUGAAUUCAUCUCCGGGGGUAGAGCACUGUUUCGGCAAGGGGGUCAUCCCGACUUACCAACCCGAUGCAAACUGCGAAUACCGGAGAAUGUUAUCACGGGAGACACACGGCGGGUGCUAACGUCCGUCGUGAAGAGGGAAACAACCCAGACCGCCAGCUAAGGUCCCAAAGUCAUGGUUAAGUGGGAAACGAUGUGGGAAGGCCCAGACAGCCAGGAUGUUGGCUUAGAAGCAGCCAUCAUUUAAAGAAAGCGUAAUAGCUCACUGGUCGAGUCGGCCUGCGCGGAAGAUGUAACGGGGCUAAACCAUGCACCGAAGCUGCGGCAGCGACACUGUGUGUUGUUGGGUAGGGGAGCGUUCUGUAAGCCUGCGAAGGUGUGCUGUGAGGCAUGCUGGAGGUAUCAGAAGUGCGAAUGCUGACAUAAGUAACGAUAAAGCGGGUGAAAAGCCCGCUCGCCGGAAGACCAAGGGUUCCUGUCCAACGUUAAUCGGGGCAGGGUGAGUCGACCCCUAAGGCGAGGCCGAAAGGCGUAGUCGAUGGGAAACAGGUUAAUAUUCCUGUACUUGGUGUUACUGCGAAGGGGGGACGGAGAAGGCUAUGUUGGCCGGGCGACGGUUGUCCCGGUUUAAGCGUGUAGGCUGGUUUUCCAGGCAAAUCCGGAAAAUCAAGGCUGAGGCGUGAUGACGAGGCACUACGGUGCUGAAGCAACAAAUGCCCUGCUUCCAGGAAAAGCCUCUAAGCAUCAGGUAACAUCAAAUCGUACCCCAAACCGACACAGGUGGUCAGGUAGAGAAUACCAAGGCGCUUGAGAGAACUCGGGUGAAGGAACUAGGCAAAAUGGUGCCGUAACUUCGGGAGAAGGCACGCUGAUAUGUAGGUGAAGUCCCUCGCGGAUGGAGCUGAAAUCAGUCGAAGAUACCAGCUGGCUGCAACUGUUUAUUAAAAACACAGCACUGUGCAAACACGAAAGUGGACGUAUACGGUGUGACGCCUGCCCGGUGCCGGAAGGUUAAUUGAUGGGGUCAGCGCAAGCGAAGCUCUUGAUCGAAGCCCCGGUAAACGGCGGCCGUAACUAUAACGGUCCUAAGGUAGCGAAAUUCCUUGUCGGGUAAGUUCCGACCUGCACGAAUGGCGUAAUGAUGGCCAGGCUGUCUCCACCCGAGACUCAGUGAAAUUGAACUCGCUGUGAAGAUGCAGUGUACCCGCGGCAAGACGGAAAGACCCCGUGAACCUUUACUAUAGCUUGACACUGAACAUUGAGCCUUGAUGUGUAGGAUAGGUGGGAGGCUUUGAAGUGUGGACGCCAGUCUGCAUGGAGCCGACCUUGAAAUACCACCCUUUAAUGUUUGAUGUUCUAACGUUGACCCGUGAUCCGGGUUGCGGACAGUGUCUGGUGGGUAGUUUGACUGGGGCGGUCUCCUCCUAAAGAGUAACGGAGGAGCACGAAGGUUGGCUAAUCCUGGUCGGACAUCAGGAGGUUAGUGCAAUGGCAUAAGCCAGCUUGACUGCGAGCGUGACGGCGCGAGCAGGUGCGAAAGCAGGUCAUAGUGAUCCGGUGGUUCUGAAUGGAAGGGCCAUCGCUCAACGGAUAAAAGGUACUCCGGGGAUAACAGGCUGAUACCGCCCAAGAGUUCAUAUCGACGGCGGUGUUUGGCACCUCGAUGUCGGCUCAUCACAUCCUGGGGCUGAAGUAGGUCCCAAGGGUAUGGCUGUUCGCCAUUUAAAGUGGUACGCGAGCUGGGUUUAGAACGUCGUGAGACAGUUCGGUCCCUAUCUGCCGUGGGCGCUGGAGAACUGAGGGGGGCUGCUCCUAGUACGAGAGGACCGGAGUGGACGCAUCACUGGUGUUCGGGUUGUCAUGCCAAUGGCACUGCCCGGUAGCUAAAUGCGGAAGAGAUAAGUGCUGAAAGCAUCUAAGCACGAAACUUGCCCCGAGAUGAGUUCUCCCUGACUCCUUGAGAGUCCUGAAGGAACGUUGAAGACGACGACGUUGAUAGGCCGGGUGUGUAAGCGCAGCGAUGCGUUGAGCUAACCGGUACUAAUGAACCGUGAGGCUUAACCUUACAACGCCGAAG